This 200-nucleotide long non-coding RNA is filed under the name Panax ginseng (ginseng). Its description in RNAcentral is "long non-coding RNA (PGIN_LNC012436)". Lineage: Eukaryota; Viridiplantae; Streptophyta; Magnoliopsida; Apiales; Araliaceae. The record is from RNAcentral.
CGCGCAAUUAGGUGACCAAACCUCUCCUUGACAGAACUUCUAGACAUUGUAAAUAUUGUAAUUUAAUAAUAUGAAUAACUUUGUCGUCUCAAUUAUUGAUUUAAUAAUAUAACAUAUAAUACAGAUGAUACUGUGACAAUAAUCGAAUCAAUAAUAUGAGAGAUAUGAUGCAGCAAUUACUGUAGCAAUAAUUGAGUAUA